Molecule: ribosomal RNA, 444 nt
Filed under: uncultured bacterium
Lineage: Bacteria
Description: bacterial SSU rRNA
Rfam family: Bacterial small subunit ribosomal RNA
Source: RNAcentral
GGCGUGGAUAAGACAUGCAAGUCGAACGAGAUCUUUUCUUGUAGCAAUACAGGGAAAAGUCUAGAGGCGAACGGGUGCGUAACACGUGGGCAACGUACCUUCAAGUGCGGGAUAGCUCGGCGAAAGCCGGAUUAAUACCGCAUGUGAUCAGAGGCGACAUCGCUUCGAAAUUAAAGGUGGCGCAAGCUACCGCUUUUAGAGGAGCCCGCGGCCUAUCAGCUUGUUGGUGAGGUAACGGCUCACCAAGGCGUUGACGGGUAGCUGGUCUGAGAGGACGACCAGCCACAGUGGGACUGAGACACGGCCCAGACACCUACGGGUGGCAGCAGUCGAGAAUUUUUCUCAAUGGGGGAAACCUUGAAGGAGCGACGCCGCGUGGAGGAUGAAGGUCUUCGGAUUAAAGGCUCCUGUCAUUGGGAACAAUGCGUAAAUAUUAACUGUAUU